CCUACGGGUGGCUGCAGUGAGGAAUAUUGGUCAAUGGACGAGAGUCUGAACCAGCCAAGUAGCGUGAAGGAUGACUGCCCUAUGGGUUGUAAACUUCUUUUAUAUGGGAAUAAAAUGUUCCACGUGUGGGAUUUUGUAUGUACCAUAUGCAUAAGGAUCGGCUAACUCCGUGCCAGCAGCCGCGGUAAUACGGAGGAUCCGAGCGUUAUCCGGAUUUAUUGGGUUUAAAGGGAGAGGAGGUGGAUUGUUAAGGCCGUUGGGAAAGUUUGCGGCUUAACCGUAAGAUUGCAGUUGAAACUGGCAGUCUUGAGUGCAGUAGGGGUGAGCGGAAUGCGUGGUGUAGCGGUGAAAUGCUUAGAUAUCACGAAGAACUCCGAUUGCGAAGGCAGUUCACUGGACUGCAACUGACACUGAGGCUCGAAAGUGUGGGUAUCAAACAGGAUUAGAUACCCUUGUAGUC
Molecule: ribosomal RNA, 460 nt
Filed under: uncultured bacterium
Lineage: Bacteria
Description: partial 16S ribosomal RNA
Rfam family: Bacterial small subunit ribosomal RNA
Source: RNAcentral